UAGAAGGUAGUAUAAUGGUAGUACGCGAAGUUUUGAGCUUUGUAGUGUAGGUUCGAUAGCCUAUUUUUCUA
This 71-nucleotide transfer RNA is filed under the name Diplodactylus galeatus (helmeted gecko). Its description in RNAcentral is "tRNA-Gln". It matches the Rfam family "tRNA". Rfam says of the family: Transfer RNA (tRNA) molecules are approximately 80 nucleotides in length. The record is from RNAcentral. Lineage: Eukaryota; Metazoa; Chordata; Lepidosauria; Squamata; Diplodactylidae.